RNAcentral lists this ribosomal RNA (255 nucleotides) under uncultured bacterium. RNAcentral's name for it is "partial 16S ribosomal RNA". It matches the Rfam family "Bacterial small subunit ribosomal RNA", at positions 524 to 776 of the family's 1533-position model. The record is from RNAcentral.
GACGUAGGGCGCGAGCGUUGUCCGGAUUUAUUGGGCGUAAAGAGCUCGUAGGCGGCUUGUUGCGUCGACUGUGAAAACCCGCGGCUCAACCGCGUGGCUUGCAGUCGAUACGGGCAGGCUCGAGGCCGGUAGGGGGAAGCGGAAUUCCCGGUGUAGUGGUGGAAUGCGUAGAGUAUCGGGAGGAACACCAGUGGCGAAGGCGGCUCCUGGACCGGUUCUGACACUGAGGAGCGAAAGCGGUGGGGAGCGAUCCGG